This 30-nucleotide non-coding RNA is filed under the name Mus musculus (house mouse). Lineage: Eukaryota; Metazoa; Chordata; Mammalia; Rodentia; Muridae. The record is from RNAcentral.
UAUGACAUGUCAAUCACCUGUCUCCUUUAU